UCAAAACAAGAGCACUGAAGUGCUGGGGAC
RNAcentral lists this non-coding RNA (30 nucleotides) under Macaca fascicularis (crab-eating macaque). RNAcentral also lists the same sequence under 1 other name. Lineage: Eukaryota; Metazoa; Chordata; Mammalia; Primates; Cercopithecidae. The record is from RNAcentral.